Rhagoletis pomonella (apple maggot) is the source of this 303-nucleotide long non-coding RNA. RefSeq lists it as uncharacterized. The transcript is spliced from 3 exons. NCBI's taxonomy places the organism in Eukaryota, Metazoa, Arthropoda, Insecta, Diptera, Tephritidae. The record is from RefSeq and is a predicted model, not a curated record.
UCGAGCAUGUCAUUUCGCGAAUAAUAAGAAUGUGGGAUUUCUAGUUGAGCGAAGAUUACGAAACCUCGUCUCCAGGUUCACUUCCAUCAUUGAAAGAACCGCAACGAUCCGCAUUAAAGUUAAAUUCAACCACUUAAGCCUCAUUUGUGUCAACACCUCGACUGAGGAGAAGGACGAUGAAACUAAAUAGUACACAGAAGAAAUGAUCCAGGUUCCUUCAAAUACUGUUGAAUUAUUCCCAGAUAGCUAAGCUUUUGCAGAGAAAAAAGAUGCCGCCUACAGGGCCACGCUGCGAUCGGGCGC